AUGGCGGAAAUGGUCGGGCCGCGCGUGUACAGCUGCUGCCACUGCCGCAACCACGUCUGCCUCCACGACGACAUCAUCUCCAAGGCCUUCCAGGGGAGGAAUGGCCGCGCGUUCCUCUUCUCCCACGCCAUGAACGUCACCACGGGGGCCAAGGAGGACCGGCAGCUCAUGACGGGGCUCCACACCGUCGCCGACAUCCACUGCCGUGACUGCCGCGAGGUGCUCGGGUGGAAGUACGAGCGCGCCUACGAGGAGUCCCAGAAGUACAAGGAAGGCAAGUUCAUAUUCGAAAAGGCCAAGAUCGUGCAGGAGAAUUGCUAG
This 321-nucleotide ribosomal RNA is filed under the name Triticum aestivum (bread wheat). RNAcentral's name for it is "partial small subunit ribosomal RNA". Lineage: Eukaryota; Viridiplantae; Streptophyta; Magnoliopsida; Poales; Poaceae. The record is from RNAcentral.